This 74-nucleotide transfer RNA is filed under the name Rhipicephalus sanguineus (brown dog tick). RNAcentral's name for it is "transfer RNA alanine (anticodon CGC)". It matches the Rfam family "tRNA". Rfam says of the family: Transfer RNA (tRNA) molecules are approximately 80 nucleotides in length. Lineage: Eukaryota; Metazoa; Arthropoda; Arachnida; Ixodida; Ixodidae. The record is from Rfam by way of RNAcentral.
GCCGCUGUAGCUCACUUGGUAAGAGCAUUGGGUGCGCAAUCCGAAUGUCGCAGGUUCGGUCCCUGCCAGCGGCA